Molecule: long non-coding RNA, 239 nt
Organism: Oncorhynchus keta (chum salmon)
Lineage: Eukaryota; Metazoa; Chordata; Actinopteri; Salmoniformes; Salmonidae
Exons: 3
Source: RefSeq, a predicted model, not a curated record
UAUCAGCCAAGGUUAUUUAUCAGCCAAGGUUACUUAUCAGCCAAGGUUACUUAUCAGCCAAGGUUACUUAUCAGCCAAGGUUAUUUAUCAGCCAAGGUUAUUUAUCAGCCAAGGUUAUUUAUCAGCCAAGGUUAUUUAUCAGCCAAGGUUACUUAUCAGCCAAGGUUACUUAUCAGCCAAGGUUACUUAUCAGCCAAGGUUAUUUAUCAGCCAAGGUUAUUUAUCAGCCAAGGUUACUU